UUUUUAAUUGGGGACUGGUAUGAAAGGUUUAAUCAGGAAUUUGCUUUUUUAUAGUUAAAAGUAUAAAUUAAUUAAUAAGUUAAAAGGCUUAUAUAUUUUAAAGUGACAAGAAGACCCUAAGAGUUUGACAAGUAAUAUUAGAGUGAGUAGUUAAGUAGAAGUGAGACAAGUCUAAUAAAAUUUGUUUGACUGGGGCGGUUAAAAUAUUAUCUAUUUUGUUAAGGACAUUAAUGAAGGGAGUAGGUUUAGUUAAUAUCCUAAUUGGAAAGCAAAAUAAAUUACCUUAGGGAUAACAGCAUAAUCUUUUUUGAGAGACCGUAUUGACGGAAAGGUUUGUGACCUCGAUGUUGGAUUUGAAUAACUUUUUGGAGCAGCAUUUAUAAAAG
This 386-nucleotide ribosomal RNA is filed under the name Vargula ascensus. Its description in RNAcentral is "partial large subunit ribosomal RNA". The record is from RNAcentral. Lineage: Eukaryota; Metazoa; Arthropoda; Ostracoda; Myodocopida; Cypridinidae.